RNAcentral lists this ribosomal RNA (207 nucleotides) under uncultured delta proteobacterium. RNAcentral's name for it is "partial 16S ribosomal RNA". It matches the Rfam family "Bacterial small subunit ribosomal RNA", at positions 568 to 774 of the family's 1533-position model. Lineage: Bacteria; Deltaproteobacteria. The record is from RNAcentral.
CACGUAGGCGGCGUGAUAAGUUGGGUGUGAAAGCCCUGGGCUCAACCCAGGAAGUGCAUUCAAAACUGUCACGCUUGAAUCUCGGAGGGGGUCAGAGAAUUCCCGGUGUAGAGGUGAAAUUCGUAGAUAUCGGGAGGAAUACCAGUGGCGAAGGCGCUGACCUGGACGAAGAUUGACGCUGAGGUGCGAAAGCGCGGGGAGCAAACA